GGUGUACUUACUUUGAGUUUUAAUAUUUUCCAAUGUUUUCAGAUCUUAUCAUCUAAACUUAUUGUUGAAGAACUUCUAUUACAUCUUACAAUAAUAUUAAUUUUUUAUAUUUACUUGUUCUUUUCCAAUUUUAUGGGACAAGAAAUUACAGAUCAUUAUAAUCUUAUAUUUAUUACUGCGUAAGAAAUAUUCUAGUUUACUAUAAUUGUUUUACAGACUUUAGUAACGAAUAUAAAAGUUAAUAUAAUACACACACAUAUAUGUGGACUGAAAAUUAUUUAUACAUAUUUUUCUCUCAAAUUACUUAAUAUUAUGUUACCGCAUGUAGGUAUGAAGUCCAAUGGUACGAAACUCCUCUAUAUAUACGAAAAUUGAUACAAUUUUUGUUAUUAAGAGGCAAUAAACCUUUUGGUUUGAAAGUUGGUAAAUUAUUCGUGGGGUCCUUACAAUGUUUUGCCACGCUAACAAAUGCGUCCUUGUCUUAUUUUAUUGCCAUGAAAUCUAUUAAAAAAUGAUGGAAGUCACGAUCGAUCAAUAUACGUUAUUAAAAUGUAGAGUAGACAAAAAAUAAUAUAUUAUAUAUUUAGUUAAAUAGAAUGUAAUAAAUAUAUAAUAAAUUUAUAAAUUAAUAUACAAAUACGUAUAACAAGAGACACAGUAUUGUCUUGCAUCAAGUGAACGCGCAGCGCGAGACCACAUUGGUAUUAUACCCUUUGCGAACAUCCGAGAUUAUGAGAUCUCAAUAACGAUUGAAUCAAUCAAUUUCUAAUUUACAAGGGAACCUCGCGAACCCGAAAAUU
RNA transcript from Monomorium pharaonis (pharaoh ant), 800 nucleotides. RefSeq lists it as uncharacterized. Lineage: Eukaryota; Metazoa; Arthropoda; Insecta; Hymenoptera; Formicidae. The transcript has 3 exons. The record is from RefSeq and is a predicted model, not a curated record.